This is a long non-coding RNA of Cavia porcellus (domestic guinea pig), 414 nucleotides long. RefSeq lists it as uncharacterized. The record is from RefSeq and is a predicted model, not a curated record. The transcript has 3 exons. Lineage: Eukaryota; Metazoa; Chordata; Mammalia; Rodentia; Caviidae.
UCCAUUUGACAUCUAAAUGUCAUAGCGACUUUUGGGAUAGUUUGCUAUCGGCAAAAGGGGACAAAGUCAGGGGGUGAAGGGGAAGCAGGGCCCAGUAGAGCCUCCAAGACCCUCGGCAGCCUCCUCUCCAAGCCCCCCUCCUCCCAGGCCCUGGGAGAAGUUGGGCCCAGCUGGCAGGGAUUGACUUGGGUUGCCUGUUGGGAGACGGAGCCACUGCAGGCAGGGCCCAGGCGCCUGGAGUCCGGCAUGAAAGGAACUAGCGCCUCAUUGCUCUUAUCUAAGCCCAGAGCCGCCUCACCGGCCUCUUCGGAGAUUCCAGGCCCUACAGAGCCCAGGAGGUCCCCGAGCACCCCAGCCCUCAUGCCAAGGCUGCCAGAAAGCCACCGAUACCCACACUGGGCAAGAGAACCGCGC